AUAUACGACCGUACCGCAAACCGACACUGGUGCGCGAGAUGAGUAUUCUAAGGCGCUUGAGAGAACUCAGGAGAAGGAACUCGGCAAAUUGACACCGUAACUUCGGAAGAAGGUGUGCCCUAUUAGUGUGUAGUGAACAACGAAGCAUGAAUGGGUUGCAAAAAAUCGGUGGCUGCGACUGUUUAUUAAAAACACAGCACUCUGCAAACACGAAAGUGGACGUAUAGGGUGUGACGCCUGCCCGGUGCUGGAAGAUUAAAUGAUGGGGUGCAAGCUCUUGAUUGAAGUCCCAGUAAACGGCGGCCGUAACAAUAACGGUCCUAAGGUAGCGAAAUUCCUUGUCGGGUAAGUUCCGACCUGCACGAAUGGCGUAACGAUGGCCACACUGUCUCCUCCUGAGACUCAGCGAAGUUGAAAUGUUUGUGAUGAUGCAAUCUCCCCGCGGAAAGACGGAAAGACCCCAUGAACCUUUACUGUAGCUUUGUAUUGGACUUUGAACAGAUCUGUGUAGGAUAGGUGGGAGGCUUUGAAGCAGGGUCGCUAGAUCUUGUGGAGCCAACGUUGAAAUACCACCCUGGUGUGUUUGAGGUUCUAACCUAGGUCCAUUAUCUGGAUCGGGGACAGUGCAUGGUAGGCAGUUUGACUGGGGCGGUCUCCUCCCAAAGCGUAACGGAGGAGUUCGAAGGUACGCUAGUUACGGUCGGACAUCGUGAAGAUAGUGCAAUGGCAUAAGCGUGCUUAACUGCGAGACUGACAAGUCGAGCAGAUGCGAAAGCAGGACAUAGUGAUCCGGUGGUUCUGUAUGGAAGGGCCAUCGCUCAACGGAUAAAAGGUACUCUGGGGAUAACAGGCUGAUACCGCCCAAGAGUUCAUAUCGACGGCGGUGUUUGGCACCUCGAUGUCGGCUCAUCUCAUCCUGGGGCUGUAGCCGGUCCCAAGGGUAUGGCUGUUCGCCAUUUAAAGAGGUACGUGAGCUGGGUUUAAAACGUCGUGAGACAGUUUGGUCCCUAUCUUCCGUGGGCGCUGCAGAUUUGAGGAAGCCUGCUCCUAGUACGAGAGGACCGGAGUGGACACACCUCUGGUGUAUCGGUUGUCACGCCAGUGGCAUUGCCGAGUAGCUAAGUGUGGAAGAGACAACCGCUGAAAGCAUCUAAGCGGGAAACUCGUUUCAAGAUGAGAUCUGCCGGGGCCUUGAGCCCCCUAAAGAGUCGUUCAAGACCAGGACGUUGAUAGGUCAGGUGUGGAAGCG
Molecule: ribosomal RNA, 1249 nt
Filed under: metagenome
Description: bacterial LSU rRNA
Rfam family: Bacterial large subunit ribosomal RNA
Source: RNAcentral